UACGUAGGGUGCAAGCGUUAAUCGGAAUUACUGGGCGUAAAGCGUGCGCAGGCGGUUUUGUAAGUCUGUCGUGAAAGCCCCGGGCUCAACCUGGGAAUUGCGAUGGAGACUGCAAGGCUUGAAUCUGGCAGAGGGGGGUAGAAUUCCACGUGUAGCAGUGAAAUGCGUAGAGAUGUGGAGGAACACCGAUGGCGAAGGCAGCCCCCUGGGUCGAGAUUGACGCUCAUGCACGAAAGCGUGGGGAGCAAACAGG
Molecule: ribosomal RNA, 253 nt
Filed under: uncultured bacterium
Lineage: Bacteria
Description: partial 16S ribosomal RNA
Rfam family: Bacterial small subunit ribosomal RNA
Source: RNAcentral